CACAAGUUCCCAAGCAUUCCACCAGCACUCACUACAGGGUAUUGCCAAGAGUAGCAGACUGCACACGAAUCAACAAGGCUUCCUUCAUAUUGCAAUCCCAACAGAAAAUGGUGCAGCAAAAGCAGUUCCCAGACCUUGGUUGCCUGCUACCCAAGCUCUUGUGCCAAGGCUGGAAAUGAGUCAGGCCCAACCAACUUAUUCCAGAAUUUUAUCAGACUGUUCAAGUGAAGCAGGAGGCUGAAAUUUCAAGAUUUAGAUCUCUG
Tupaia belangeri chinensis (Chinese tree shrew) is the source of this 263-nucleotide long non-coding RNA. RefSeq lists it as uncharacterized. The record is from RefSeq and is a predicted model, not a curated record. The transcript has 2 exons. NCBI's taxonomy places the organism in Eukaryota, Metazoa, Chordata, Mammalia, Scandentia, Tupaiidae.